UAUGUAUGUGUGUCAUUGUCACAUUAUUGUAUGUGGGGAAAAAAAAGAAAAAAAAAAAAGAAAAAAAAACUCAUGUAUAUACAUAUGCAUAUAUGUAUAUGAUAUAAAUUUACGUUAGUUACGUUGAAAUUUCUCCACGAUU
This is a long non-coding RNA of Vespa mandarinia (Asian giant hornet), 142 nucleotides long. The record is from RefSeq and is a predicted model, not a curated record. Lineage: Eukaryota; Metazoa; Arthropoda; Insecta; Hymenoptera; Vespidae.